This 467-nucleotide ribosomal RNA is filed under the name uncultured bacterium. Its description in RNAcentral is "partial 16S ribosomal RNA". It matches the Rfam family "Bacterial small subunit ribosomal RNA", at positions 28 to 507 of the family's 1533-position model. The record is from RNAcentral.
GACGAACGCUGGCGGCGUGCUUAACACAUGCAAGUCGAACGGAAAGGCCUAGCUUGCUGGGUACUCGAGUGGCGAACGGGUGAGUAGCACGUGGGUGAUCUGCCCCUGACUUUGGGAUAAGCCUGGGAAACUGGGUCUAAUACCAGAUAUUCAUUUUCCCUCGCAUGGGGAUUUGUGGAAAGCUUUUGCGGUUGGGGAUGGGCCCGCGGCCUAUCAGCUUGUUGGUGGGGUAAUGGCCUACCAAGGCGACGACGGGUAGCCGACCUGAGAGGGUGAUCGGCCACACUGGGACUGAGACACGGCCCAGACUCCUACGGGAGGCAGCAGUGGGGAAUAUUGCACAAUGGGCGCAAGCCUGAUGCAGCGACGCCGCGUGAGGGAUGACGGCCUUCGGGUUGUAAACCUCUUUCAGCUCCGACGAAGCGCAAGUGACGGUAGGAGCAGAAGAAGCACCGGCCAACUACGUG